UCGAAGGAUCCGCUGGCUGUGUACCCUAUUGAUGAGUAACUUCUUGGGGGGAAAAAAAAAGCACAAAAACCCGAAAAGCCUUUCUUAGCAACAGGAGGAGAGGAAAACUUCUUAGCUGACGUCAAUGGCUUGCUCCGUUGGAACCCGUUGGGGUCAGCCCGUGCCCACGGCCGCGUGCGGUCCCCUGUAAUACAAAGGAGACGGCUGCAGCCGGGGCCGCUGGCUGCUCGAAGCGCGUAACAGCAGAAGGGCAUUGCAGAGCUGGAGCUGGGAGCCGGCGGCUUUGCCGAGAGAGCCGAGCGGGAAGGAAGAGUCGGGAAAUGCAGCAGAGCUGGAAGAAAACCUGAGAAUUGAUUUCUCGUCCGAGGGCUUAUCAGAGCACGUUAGCACCUCUUAGCAUCGUCUGCUUAGCGUGACAGUGAGCUUACAAAGGGUUACAUCAGUGGAACAAAAUGUGAAGCUGAUUUUCCUGAGGUUCAGCUCAUACAUUUUUCGAUAGGAAGCAGGUAUAAAAUUCCUCCUUUGAAAGCCUGCUGGCAGCAGCAGGUUCGGGAGACGGCAGGAUGAUCGAUCAGGCGUGGAAAUACCCCGCAGCGCGGGGGAUGGUGGGGAUGGUGGGGACCGGUCCCAUCCCCCGGCAUUGCCCUGGGCGUGCAGC
Grus americana (Whooping crane) is the source of this 658-nucleotide long non-coding RNA. RefSeq lists it as uncharacterized. Lineage: Eukaryota; Metazoa; Chordata; Aves; Gruiformes; Gruidae. The transcript is spliced from 3 exons. The record is from RefSeq and is a predicted model, not a curated record.